Molecule: long non-coding RNA, 4018 nt
Organism: Xenopus laevis (African clawed frog)
Lineage: Eukaryota; Metazoa; Chordata; Amphibia; Anura; Pipidae
Exons: 4
Source: RefSeq, a predicted model, not a curated record
GCAGUCUAUGAGCUUACUUUAAUUUAUAGCUUUCUGGAUAACGGGUUUCCAAAUAAUGGAUCCCAUACCUAUAUUAUGUUAUAUUUUAUUUUCAAAAGGUCGACUACUGGAAUUGGCCACUGGGAAGCAGUGUUCUCUGUUUCCUAGAGUCCUAUGCAUCUGGCCACAUGAUGGAGUUGAUGCGCUUGUAAUAAGUUGUUUAGUAAUUCCGCAUGUGCCUGUUGCUUCAUUAGAAAGACCAAUACACCUUCUAUACAAACAUGGCACUAGCUAUUACACUAUACUUUAUAUUGAUGUGGAAAAGGAAACUAUGUGCAUUUACCUUGUACCAAACGGUAACCCACUGGCCCCAUUCCAGACUGAGGUUUGUAAUUAUUUCCCAUUAAUAAGUAACUCAGACUAAUUCUAGGUCAUAAGUAUGAGUUAAUUAAGUCGUUGUACAGUGUACAGACUACCUGUCACUCCUGCUCACUGGAAAGUCUAAUGAGACCAUCUCCUCUCAAUUUGAUUACAGCUCUAAUGGAUUAGUCCUUGAUCUGAUAAAAUGAUCAAAACUGACUACAGAAAAAGUUGAAGUGGCACAGGGUCCAACUCCAUUUUUUAGCCACUUAUGAAUUAGCACACUAAAGUACCCAAAAUGUAUACACUCCCAACACAUAAUGGAAAAACAGUAUAAACCUAUAUGUCUAAAAUAUUGCCCCUUAAACCAACAAGGGUAAACCGCAAAUCACCCACAUAAAGCAAUGUGAUGGAAAGAUAGGGAAUAUUAAUAUAGAAAGUAAAGAAGUGCUGACCCCAGUGGGACCUAGAAGACUGUGCCAUUUCAUCUCCAGUUUCGUCCUAGUAUUAAUAUAUGGGAUGAAAUUGUAAUAUAUUGACCAGUGUUCCAUUCUGAUCUGUACUAUAAUAACUGUUUGAAUUCUGUAUUAUAAAUGAUUGCACUGUACUAGAACAACUGGAUAUAAUCACUGCAAUCUCAAUGGCAAGUAAAGUUUGUUUGUGGUAGAGAUUAAGAUGACUGCAUUUACUGAUCCAGACAUACUUGAAAGUGGGCUUUUUCAGCCUGCUCAUCUGUUACACAAAAUGGCCUUUGCUUUGCUACUGUUUAUAGUAGUGGUACUUGGGGAGCAGUCACUGGGUUUUGGAAUAUUCGAGAGUCUUCUGGUGGUACAGUACAAAUUGGCAUAGAUAUUCAGAAGAGUGUGCUUCAUUAACCUAGAAACCUAGAUGUAUUUAUUUUAUAGAUUGGGUCCUUUUUUGGGGAAAGUCUGGCCAUGGAGGAGCUUCAGCCUUGGAUGGUAACUGGGGGUUCUUCAGCUUGGUUGGGAUAAGAUUGAAUUUGAUGUGUGUGAAUAUAUUGCCUUAACCUAUAUAUAUGUUUCUUUAACAGGUCAUACCCUGGUGUGGGAAAAGUCCAACAACAGAGAUAUUCAGUGUGAUUUUUGGUGUUGGGCCACGGUUUGGAUAAAGUCUAGACAUCAAGGUUCUUCAGCCUUGGCAAGUCAGUAGAGAAGCCGGUGCUAGUGGUGGGGGAAAUCAUUUGGAUGUACAGUAUGUGAGCAUUCCUCUGCCUGAGCGUCUGCUGUUCAGAAUGGGUCAACCGUGGAAUUAGCAUCAGACUUGGAAGGUGAGGGGGUGUCACAUGCUUUUGAGGAAAAAGAAAUGUGUAGGGGUAAUAAUACCAAGAAGCGACACUUGAGCAGCAGUUUUUCUGUGCUUCUUGGUGUUAUUACCCCUACACAUUUCUUUUUCCUGAUUUGCUGGAUGGGAGCAAGGGUGUAAGAUACCUGAAAUUCAUACGACUAAGGGCUGUACUACACCAGUUUCUAUGACAUUAUUCACAUGCUUUUGAUGAAGGGAUGUUUUUAAAUGUGUAUAAGUGGGUGUUACUUCACCCAGAAUGGUACUGCUUGUAUUUGGGGUGUUUGGGGAGCAAUCACUUGGUUUUUGAUUAUGUGACAGUAUGCUACUCCAACCUGAGUGUCCUUUAUUAUACAGGUUUUGCCUAGGCUUUGGACAAUGAUGGCUGCAGGGGUGGUUCAGCUUAUUCAGUUUGAUUAGGAUGCUGGUGUGGAGGUAUCGAUUGUCGUAGAUAUGAGAAUAGUGGACUUCAUUAGUCUGAUAACCUAGGUGUAUUUGUUUUAUAGGUUGGGUCCUUGUUUGGGGAAAGUCUAGCCAUGGAGGAGUUUCAGCCUUAUCUGGUUGGACUCUGGUUUGGGUUAAGUCAAGCCAUGGAGGUUCUUCAGCCUUGGCAAGUCAUACCCCGGGAUGGGAAAAGUGCAACAGCAGAUGUAUUUAGAUUACGUACGUUUUUGGUGUGAGUACGCCUUCAGGGCAUUUUAUAGGCUGUGCCCUGGCUUUGGCAUUUCCAGCAAUCGAGAGUUUUCUUUCAAAACUUUUUUUUAUUAUCAAUCAAUAUUGACAAGACAUUGCAAUUUUUCUUUAUAAAAUGCGUGUGUUCUCCUACACAGAGGAGAAUUAUGACAUUACAUGAAAACAUAUUACAGAAAGCUACAAUGCCACAUUGACAUGUAAAUAAACAUAAUGAAAUAGUCAUAUCAAUAAACAAAUAAACUUGCUUAACAAAAUGCAGUGUCAAUUAUUACUUUGUAUUCGUCUCCGUGUAUAUUACGUCAUGUAAUAAUAAGUGUCUCCUUAUAUACAGCAUUGCUUCCAGGGUUCCGUCCUCGUUAUAAUUAAGGGCUCCCCCGUCUGACACAAGUAACAGCUACAUCAAUCACUGACUGGUAUAUCUAAUCCAAGGGGUCCAUAUUUUCAUAUAAAUAUUGUAUUUGUCUGAAAUAAUACUUAAUAACCGUUCAUUGACCAUAAUCCAGUUCAUUUUAGCACGGAACAAGGAUAUGGGAAGUGAACGUUUUUUCCAUGAAGAAGCUAUAGUUCAGCAAUGGAGAGUUUUCACUCUUGGUGGGUAAGUGGAGGUUCUGUUUCUUGCAGUAGGGGUGCAGGACAAGAGAAGUCUUGUUUCUAAUGAAUGUAAUAAAGUUUUGAUUUAACUAAGCUUUUCUUUGUGUAUUAGUUUAGUUAAAGUCUAGCCAUGAAAGUAAAGAAGCUGGUGCUAGUGGAAUUAAUUUGGAUGUAUGUGAGCAUUCUUAUAGGAUAGGCUUUGCUUUACAAAAUAUUUAGCCCCUGAGUAUGUACAGGCUUUAUAGGUAAGUAGGUAUAGAGGUGCUUGAUUUAGUGUGUGAGCAAAUGGAAAUAUUGAUUUUAGUAUUGGGUCUCUUUCUUUUUAUGCAAAACGGUUUCAUUUGCAGUAGAAGAGUGGGAAUGUUACUGCUUGUAGUAGGGGUGUUUGGGAGCAAUCACUUGGUUUUUGAAAAUGUGAUAGUAUGCUACUCCAACCUGAGUUUCCUUUAUUCUACAGGUUGCACCUUGGAUUUAGACAAUGAUGGCUGCAUGCGUGGUUCAGCUUAUUCCAUUGAAUAAAGAUGCUGAUGCUCAUAUUCUGUGAGAUGGUGGAGUUAUUGAUUGUCUUAGAUAUGCAGAAGAGUGGGCUUCAUUAGCCUGAUAACUUAGGUGUAUUUGUUUUACAGGUUGUGUCCUUGUUUGGGGAAAGUCCAGAGGAGUUUCAGUCUUGGCUGGUGACCGGGGUUCUUCAGCUUGGUUGGGGUAAGAGUGAAGCAAGAGUGAAUGGCCUUAACCUAUAUGUUUUUAACAGGUCAUACCCUGGUGUAGGAAAAGUCCAACAGUAGUGGUACUUCAGUCUUUGUAUGGAAGUUUGCUGUAAAGGAUUUGGGUGGAGUUGUUUUUUUUUGUUGUGUGCAGUUCAGGGUAUUUUAUAGUUUGGACUCUGGCUUUGAAGUUUCCAGCAAAGGAGGAGUAGUUUGGUGGGAGAGUGGGGGUUCAGGUUCUUGAGGUAAGGGUGCAAUGUGUUGCUUUAACUAAGGUAUUUCUUUGUUUAAUAGGUUGGACAUCACAUGGAAAUCUCACGUUUGUACACAAAUAUUCCUCAUGAAACAGGGAAAGAGAAAAUUUUUAAUCAACCUACCUGGUACCUGGG